This 250-nucleotide long non-coding RNA is filed under the name Mustela putorius furo (domestic ferret). RNAcentral's name for it is "lncRNA (ENSMPUG00000025153.1)". Lineage: Eukaryota; Metazoa; Chordata; Mammalia; Carnivora; Mustelidae. The record is from RNAcentral.
GGCAACAGAGGGCCGCAGAAGGCAGAGAAACUGACAGUCACCCACACAAAGCACGACGGAUCUGUGGGCUAAUUAAAAGGUCCUGUGCUUGGGUCACCUUGUAAACGAGAAAUGUCAGUCAGAAACCCACGGUCACCAACAGCUCUUCUGAGAAGCCCCCGGAACUCCCCGCCACCCUGCAGGUGCCGUCUGUUCCCAGAGCCCCGCCUGCUGCUCCUGAGAGCCUGGGAAUAUCUCAUCUGCUGGGCCC